AGUUCAGCGGUAGAAUACAACCUUGCCAAGGUUGGGGUCGCGGGUUCGAAUCCCGUCUUCUGCUCCA
Molecule: transfer RNA, 67 nt
Filed under: Staphylococcus aureus
Lineage: Bacteria; Bacillati; Bacillota; Bacilli; Caryophanales; Staphylococcaceae
Description: tRNA-Gly
Rfam family: tRNA
About the family: Transfer RNA (tRNA) molecules are approximately 80 nucleotides in length.
Source: RNAcentral